Molecule: ribosomal RNA, 656 nt
Filed under: Paralomis granulosa
Lineage: Eukaryota; Metazoa; Arthropoda; Malacostraca; Decapoda; Lithodidae
Description: partial 16S ribosomal RNA
Rfam family: Bacterial large subunit ribosomal RNA
Source: RNAcentral
UUAACAAAAACAUGUCUAUAUGAAGGUGUAUAUAGUUUGGCCUGCUCACUGAUUAAAUUAAAGAGCCGCAGUAUUUUGACUGUGCGAAGGUAGCAUAAUAAAUUGUCUUUUAAAUAAAGGCUUGAAUGAAAGGUUGGACAAAGUAUCAUCUGUUUCUUAAAUAUUUAUUGAAUUUGACUUUUAAGUGAAAAGGCUUAAAUAAAUCAAAAAGACGAUAAGACCCUAUAAAUCUUUACAAGAAAUAUAUUUUAUGUUUUAGCUUAUAAGUAAUAUAAGAAAUAAAAAUAUAAGUUUGUUGCGCUGGGGCGGCGUAGAUAUAUAAAUAAACUGUCUAUGAUUUAAAUACAGUAAUUAUUGCUUAAUACAAAUUGAUCCUUAAAUAGAUUAAAAGAUUAAGAUACUUUAGGGAUAACAGCGUUAUUUUUUUUGAGAGUUCUUAUCGAAGAAAAAGUUUGCGACCUCGAUGUUGAAUUAAAGUUUCUUUGUGGUGUAGCCGCUAUAAGAGAGAGUCUGUUCGACUUUUAAUACUUUACAUGAUUUGAGUUCAGACCGGCGUGAGCCAGGUUGGUUUCUAUCUUUUGUUGAAUAUAAGAUUAUUUUAGUACGAAAGGAUUAAAUAAUUAAAAUAUUUUUAUAAUUUAGAAUAUUAAUAUCCU